GGACACGUGUCUCGUCCCAUCUGAGACUUGUGGUCCGUCUGGCUGCACACACAGUUACCACUUGGCUCUCCAGUCUGUCUCCUCCAGUCACUCCUGAUUCCUGGGGCUGUGAACCCUGACUCCCAUGCUCAGUGUGAGAGCCCCUGGGGGACGGGAUACACCAGCAACUCCCAGAAACCCCUGUUCUAUAAAAUCCAAGGGGGCAUCUUGGGGAAGGGUCAGCUGCUGGGGGCCAGGACUGCUGGGCCUCACAUCUGUCCUGUUCCUCUCCUUAACUGCCCUACUAGCUCCUCUCUGGACAAGCCCUUAGAUCCUAGGUGGCUCUUCCUGAGGAAGCCGACUUGUUCUGCCCUGACUCGGCGGGCCCAGGCUCGUUGGGGAGACAGACACCGAGGUCUUGGAGCAGGAGGCAGGGAUACACCAGACACACGCGUGGGGGAUGCCCAAGGCCUGGCUUCGGGUUGUGGGAGAGCAGAGGAGGGGCCGGAAGAGCUGCCUGGGACAGCUGCAGGGAGAGACAAGGCCAAUUCACAUUUGGGAGCCCAGACAGCAGGACCUGCCACUGGCCCUCUUCUGCCUCUUUCCAGAAUGAACUGAUUCUGAAUUAGGAUGUUUCCACCCCACCAUCUCUCCUGUUUGUGGCUGCUGGUCGGGAC
Marmota monax (woodchuck) is the source of this 656-nucleotide long non-coding RNA. RefSeq lists it as uncharacterized. The transcript has 3 exons. NCBI's taxonomy places the organism in Eukaryota, Metazoa, Chordata, Mammalia, Rodentia, Sciuridae. The record is from RefSeq and is a predicted model, not a curated record.